CUCUAAUAUCUUUCCAGAUAGCUAUUUUUAAGGAAAUUGCUCAGUGAAGUAUUAGGUAUUAAAGAGGUUUAUUCCUUCCUAUUUUAGGUAAAUAUGAAUCAUUAAAAUACAUACCAGUAGGUAAACCGAGAGUAUGUAUUUUAA
Molecule: non-coding RNA, 144 nt
Submitted as: unclassified sequences
Source: Rfam